GGCGGGGCGGAGAAAGGGGAGCGAAGCGGAACCUUCCUCCCCGCCCUCGGGCACCUGUAACGCCUCAGCCCGGAUCCCCUCACCCCGGCCUCCGCCCGGCUGAAAACUCGGACCGCCGAGGCGGGAGAGGGGCGACCUGCGAGAGCUCCCGCCUCCCCUGGCCCCCGCUGAGGCGAGGCCGGCGGCAACGCCUCGCUUCGCGCCACACCCAGGCGGUCCGUUAGCGGUUGAGUUUGGGUUAUUUAUGUAUUUUCACGGAGAAGGGGGCAGUUAACCUGGGGGCUGAACGGCGCUCGUUCUUCACCGGCAGUUCUUCCUGCCAGCUGGCCGAAGCAGUUGCUAUUCUCCAAAUUCCUCAAACUCUUCCUUAUCCCUCAGUCAGCACAUCAGACUGCAUAGAGUGCAGCAUUGGUGUGGCCUCCCCUCGAGCGCUGUGUGCAGUUUUGGGCUUCACAAUGUAAGAAGGAUGUGAAAAUAUUAGAUUGUGUCCAAAGGAGUGCAACAAAGAUGGUGAGAGGACCAGAGGACAUGACUUCUGAGGAGUGUCUGAGGAUACUCGGUGUGUUCAGCUUGGAGAAGAGGAGCCUGAGGGAUGUGCACUACAGUGGAUGCAAGUACACUUUCUGGGUAGCUGCUCUAAGAAACACCCAGUGAGGUUGGAGGGUAUCGCGUACCUGGACAUUUCUCAUGAGCAUGUGGGAGUCCAGGGCCUCCAAGGAACGCAGAUGCCAAAUCAUCGCCUGUGCGCCUUAUCCCAGAGGACGGAGGGAAGCCUGACUCGUGUUGCAGUACAACCUACAAUGGAAGGAUCUUCAGCUUUUUUCCCAUCUGGACCAGUUCCUUUCAGCACAAUGAUGCACAAACACUGCUUUCGGGCUGAACCAGUACGUAAUUUGGACUAAGAAGAGUCGCUUAAAAGCCAAGUGAAUCCCAACUGUUGCUGAGUUGUAUCACUGCAUCAGCAUUACACUUUGUGGUCUUGUGCCUGAAAUCCCUUAGGAGGUGAGGUCCUUCUUUCUGGGCUAUAAUUUUAUCAGAAUAACGGGGAACACAGUACCUUUUCAUAGCUGGGAAUAAACAAUUAGACUUAAACCUAAUUAACAUUGACAACUUUCUCUAGCUAUGCAGUUUAUAAUCAUCUUAGAAGCAAGCUGCUCAGCACUUCCUAGAAGAAUACUCUUAGGUGAGGUAGUUGGUUGGAAGUAUUUUCUGAAAUAAAAGUUGGCAUACCACUUUAUGGUCUCGAACCCUGGACCAGGAUUUGUUUUCCUUCGUUUCUAAGUCUCGGUGUUUAUUGGAUUGCAAGAUCUAGCUUUCAAAUUUAGUUAACAUUUUGGUGUGCAGUAACUUUACAAAAUAUGUUUAAAAUUUCAAGGUAAGUAUUGAUGUGCUUUUUGAACAACUAUUAACAUUACUUUCCUUGUUAGGAAGCAGCAGCACAUCUGUUCUUCCCGCAUUAAAUAAGGAGAAUGGAUGGUAGCAGCUCUUCCUGAUACAAUCUGAACAGGGAGCCUCUGAACCUAGCAGGACACCGCAUAGCAUGUAUUUUUAAAAGCUUAAUGCACCAUGAGAUUUCUUAACUGAAAUGAAUAAUGGUAAACAAAACCAAACCUUUCAGUGGUUUAGAAUUGAUUACUACUCCUAUUUGUCUCCUUUAAAUGGAAAAUAAACACUUAAAGUAUUAAGAGUUACCACUAUAAAUUUACUGCAGACUCACUAGUUAAAAAAGAACGGAUCACACACUGUAAUUUUCCGAUAAACACAUCUAAACCUAGACAGGGGACAUGAGGCUUCUGAUAAACUGUUCUGUAUAAUGAAAUGAGUUAAUGGCUCUAUUUGUUUUUAACCCUGUCCUAUCACUUCACAGUGUAAAUGAAGCCUUUGAAGGGCUGAUUUUUGCUUUAGCAUUUGAAUGAAAUUAAAAUGAAAAAGACUUGUAAGUAUGUGUAAUGGAAAAAACACACAACAACAAAGCUUUAUUAGAAUGGUCAAAUACUAUUUCUUAAUUCCUGUAGAGUAUCACUGGAGGAAACUGGAAUAUGCAGAAAACAAAACCAAGAAACUUCAGUCUGUCUCCAACCUACCUCACUUUGUAUCAAAAUAACCUUCAGGAAAGAUUUUAUACAGCAGUAUUGCAUAUAUUGCAGAAAACAAUGUAGUCUCAUUGCAGAAUAUAAGAAACAGUUUUCAAUUAAUUCUACAAUGUAACUUACUAAAAGAGAUAAAGGAAAACAUAAGGUAUUCAAUUUAGAAUUCUGUCCAGAAACCACUGACUUUCUAUCCUGUUUUCCUUUAAAUAAGUAAACACAUUUUUACAUGCAAAAUAAAAAGUUGUCUGCUUA
Long non-coding RNA from Aquila chrysaetos chrysaetos, 2342 nucleotides. RefSeq lists it as uncharacterized. The record is from RefSeq and is a predicted model, not a curated record. NCBI's taxonomy places the organism in Eukaryota, Metazoa, Chordata, Aves, Accipitriformes, Accipitridae. The transcript is spliced from 3 exons.